AACUUUCUGAAACAUUAGCUCUCACUCUUUCUCUAAGUGACUUUGAGAUGAAGCAAUUUCUGGAGAGGUUUAGGAUAAGCAGCUUGGAUGUCAGAAAGGCCAAUCUCUGAUUUUAGAGACGAAAGUACUGAAUCACAGAGCCAGCUGGUGGCAGAGCUAGGGAUCAGGGCCAUGGACCUCCUGACCGCUCAGGGAACCUGGAACCUGCUCUGUUUGCUGGUGUUUUACAGAGAGCAGAAACUGGAAGUUACAGAGAAAGCUGAAAUAACUUGGCCCGAAGUCACUCAGCUAAGAAGUGGCUGUGUCCAAGCUCACAUUCCGGGCUAUGCUGCGUCUCUAGACUGCGGCUUGAAGCUGUAUUUGUAAAGAUGGGGGAUAGAUGCUUGCAUGUGCUCAUAGGAUUCCAAGAAGAUGUGCAGUGGGAGCAUUUACAAACGAGUCUGUCUGUCUUCACCACCAACAUGUAGGCCAGCUUUCUCUGCCCCUCUGAGAAGUCUGCAAAAGGUCACAGCUGCAUGGCUCCAGAAGCUAUUUGUCUUUAAAUCAAGGGACCAGCAAAUACGGAUUAGUGAUCUGACCUCUCCAAUCCCAGUUCCUGGGAGACAAGAAGAGAGGUCAAGAGGGCAUCCUCCAAUCAGCUACAUCCAGGGGACUGGGGACAUGGGACUGCCAGGGUCACACUGGGAAAACAUCAUACAUGCUGUCUCAAGUCAAAUGGUUUGUCCUCCAUGAAGACCCCUGACCAGUCCUAUGGAAGAAGUCUCCUUUCUCCUGUGUUCCCAUAGCAUAUUCUCUGCCCUCUUCUAUCACACUUAUCGCUCUCUCCCUUGUAUUAGUUUUGCUUUUAUAAGCAUCUUCUCCCCCAGCCCAUGUAUCUAUAAGCUUCUUGUUUCUCUUCCUAUAUCUCACAGCUUGGGCCAAAUAAUUGGGUGUGCACUCAAUACAUAUUUGAAGUCACAAUCUUUCCCCAAUAAAUACAUUUUCAAGAAACUCA
This 994-nucleotide long non-coding RNA is filed under the name Sus scrofa (pig). RNAcentral describes it as "lncRNA (ENSSSCG00070018807.1)". Lineage: Eukaryota; Metazoa; Chordata; Mammalia; Artiodactyla; Suidae. The record is from RNAcentral.